ACAAGGCUUCUGUGCUUCGAGCAGCGAUCGAUUAUGUGAAACAACUGAAAGAAAAGGUAGAUGAACUAGAGAAGCAAAACAGAAAGAGUGCAGCAGAGACAGUAAUAUUGGUGAAUAAAAGCGAUUCGAAUGGAAACGAAGAUAACAGCAACUCCACUGAAACGAACUGCAGCAUCCUUCCUGAGAUGGAAGCGAGAGUGUUGGGGAAGGAGGUGCUCAUUGAGAUCCACUGUGAGAAAGAAUAUGGGGUUGAGCUGAAAAUACUUGACCAUCUUGAAAAUCUUCAUCUCUGUGUCACCGGUAGCAGUGUUUUGCCAUUUGGAAAUUCUGCUCUCUGCAUUACCAUCACAGCUCAGGUAUCUUAUUAUCAAGUUUAAUAAUUCUAUAUUGACCAAAUCAUUAUGAUAUGAUUCAAUGAAUCUAUGCAUAUAAAUUUGUAACAGUUUGGUGUUUGUUAACUGUAGAUGGAUGAGGAGUAUGAGAUGACAGUGAAUGAUCUAGUGAAAAACCUGAGAGAAGUUCUAUCGAAGUCUCAUUUGGUAAGUGACAGUGAUCCGUACUAGUGUAUCAAACAAGGGGUUGUAGUGUGAAAUUGGAAUUUCUUUUGUUUUGUGGUGUCUAUGAAUUUGGUCGGCUUUCGUGUGGAUUAUGUAUCAGUAAGGCUUGGUUUGUCAUGUAUGAUGUUGCUGUUUAUAAAGACAGAAAGAGAGAGAGAAAAAGGAGAGUGAUAUGUUGUUUUUCGGUAAAAUAUACUGAAAGAGAACCACAUGUAAACAGGAUGUACGACAACUCCUUUUUGAUGUAAUAAGAAUAUCAUAUGU
RNAcentral lists this long non-coding RNA (821 nucleotides) under Vigna radiata. RNAcentral's name for it is "long non-coding RNA (VRAD_LNC009427)". Lineage: Eukaryota; Viridiplantae; Streptophyta; Magnoliopsida; Fabales; Fabaceae. The record is from RNAcentral.